Molecule: ribosomal RNA, 401 nt
Filed under: uncultured bacterium
Lineage: Bacteria
Description: bacterial SSU rRNA
Rfam family: Bacterial small subunit ribosomal RNA
Source: RNAcentral
GGAAUAUUGGGCAAUGGGAGAAAUCCUGACCCAGCGACGCCGCGUGAACGAUGAAGGCCUUAGGGUCGUAAAGUUCUUUUGCACAGGAAGAAGGAAGUGACGGUACUGUGCGAAUAAGCCCCGGCUAACUACGUGCCAGCAGCCGCGGUAAUACGUAGGGGGCGAGCGUUGUUCGGAAUUACUGGGCGUAAAGGGCGCGCAGGCUGUCGAUCAAGUCAGCUGUUAAAUAUUGCGGCUUAACCGUGAUAUGCAGUUGAAACUGUUCGGCUGGAGUAUCGGAGAGGUAAGCGGAAUUCCCAGUGUAGCGGUGAAAUGCGUAGAUAUUGGGAAGAACAUCGGUGGCGAAGGCGGCUUACUGGCCGGUAACUGACGCUGAGGCGCGAAAGCCAGGGUAGCAAACG